This 301-nucleotide ribosomal RNA is filed under the name uncultured bacterium. Its description in RNAcentral is "partial 16S ribosomal RNA". It matches the Rfam family "Bacterial small subunit ribosomal RNA", at positions 509 to 807 of the family's 1533-position model. The record is from RNAcentral.
CAGUAGCCGCGGGAAUACAGAGGAUGCAAGCGUUAUCCGGAAUGAUUGGGCGUAAAGCGUCUGUAGGUGGCUUUUCAAGUCCGCCGUCAAAUCCCAGGGCUCAACCCUGGACAGGCGGUGGAAACUACCAAGCUGAAGUACGGUAGGGGCAGAGGGAAUUUCCGGUGGAGCGGUGAAGUGCGUUGAGAUCGGAAAGAACACCAACGGCGAAAGCACUCUGCUGGGCCGACACUGACACUGAGAGACGAAAGCUACGGGAGCAAAUGGGAUUAGAUACCCCCGUAGUCCCUGUCUCUUAUAC